GAUGAACGCUGGCGGCGUGCCUAAUACAUGCAAGUCGAGCGAACGGACGAGAAGCUUGCUUCUCUGAUGUUAGCGGCGGACGGGUGAGUAACACGUGGAUAACCUACCUAUAAGACUGGGAUAACUUCGGGAAACCGGAGCUAAUACCGGAUAAUAUUUUGAACCGCAUGGUUCAAAAGUGAAAGACGGUCUUGCUGUCACUUAUAGAUGGAUCCGCGCUGCAUUAGCUAGUUGGUAAGGUAACGGCUUACCAAGGCAACGAUGCAUAGCCGACCUGAGAGGGGGAUCGGCCACACUGGAACUUAGACACGGUCCAGACUCCUACGGGAGGCAGCAGUAGGGAAUCGUCCGCAAUGGUCGAAAGCCUGACGGAGCAACGCCGCGUGAGUGAUGAAGGUCUUCGGAUCGUAAAACUCUGUUAUUAGGGAAGAACAUAUGUGUAAGUAACUGUGCACAUCUUGACGGUACCUAAUCAGAAAGCCACGGCUAACUACGUG
RNAcentral lists this ribosomal RNA (497 nucleotides) under uncultured bacterium. Its description in RNAcentral is "partial 16S ribosomal RNA". It matches the Rfam family "Bacterial small subunit ribosomal RNA", at positions 28 to 507 of the family's 1533-position model. The record is from RNAcentral.